This 207-nucleotide long non-coding RNA is filed under the name Setaria viridis. Its description in RNAcentral is "long non-coding RNA (SVIR_LNC008796)". Lineage: Eukaryota; Viridiplantae; Streptophyta; Magnoliopsida; Poales; Poaceae. The record is from RNAcentral.
GGGGAGUAAAUGAAUAAAGAAGAAAAACCCAUUACUCAAAUGGGAAUUGUGGAGAGGUUGCUUAAUUUGCGCAUACUUUAUAUUGCUCCUAUAUGAUGUGAUGGUACUUAGAUUUCCACUAGGAAAGCUAGCUGUUAGCUCACACACACGCACAAAGCGAAACAGUAGUGGAUAACAGUAGAAAAAUAAGCACCGCAAUGAUCAAGC